RNAcentral lists this ribosomal RNA (419 nucleotides) under uncultured bacterium. Its description in RNAcentral is "bacterial SSU rRNA". It matches the Rfam family "Bacterial small subunit ribosomal RNA", at positions 29 to 438 of the family's 1533-position model. The record is from RNAcentral.
AACGAACGCUGGCGGCGCGCCUAAUACAUGCAAGUCGAACGAGAAGGUGUAGCAAUACACUUGUACAGUGGCGAACGGGUGAGGAAUGCAUGGGCAACCUACCCUCGAGUGGGGAACAACCAGCCGAAAGGUUGGCUAAUACCGCGUACGCUUCCGGGUCUCCGGAUCCGGAAGGAAAGUCACACCGUGGGUGUGACGCUCAAGGAUGGGCUCAUGUCCUAUCAGCUUGNGGUGAGGUAACGGCUCACCAAGGCAACGACGGGUAGCUGGUCUGAGAGGACGAUCAGCCACACUGGCACUGCGACACGGGCCAGACUCCUACGGGAGGCAGCAGUAAGGAAUAUUGCGCAAUGGGCGAAAGCCUGACGCAGCGACGCCGCGUGGGGGAUGAAGGUCUUCGGAUUGUUAAACCCCCUUUU